GACUGCAGUCUGGUCAAUAUUUUUCCUCGUAUUCUCUUGUAUGUGACCUCAUUUCAGUCAUAAGACAUCAAAGCAAUGGCCAUUUUUGUCUUUAUGGCAGGUAGAAACCCUAAGCACAUACUGGUUGGCUUCCUUGGGAGUUUUAUCUCAAAGUGUGGAAUUGCUGGAGUUCUCGCUGUGGCGCCAGGGGAUUGGCGGUGUCUCUGCAGUGUCAGGAUGCAGGUUCGAUCCCCAGCCCAGCACAGUGGGUUAAAGGAUCCGGUGUUGCCACAGCGGCAGCUUGGGUCACAGCUGUGGCUCGGAUCUGAACUCCCUAUGUUGUGGGGCAGCCAAAAAUGGAAAAACAAAAACAACCCGUGGAAUUGCAUCAUGGUAAUAUCUCUGGGGUUCCUGGGGCAAAAAGAAGCAAAGAAGGAACCAAGAUAUAUGGCUUUGGGGCUGGGCCAGUUGAGAAGAUCACUGAGGCACAAAUUCCGUUCCCUUUUCCACUCCAGCCCAAGAAGAGGACGCUUAGGAGAGAAAGAAGAGGAGAUCCUAGUUCCAGGAAAAGAAAACAUGGGUGAUGCCUACUGACAGACGCCAUCCCAGCCUGGAGUCAGAGGAAGAGCGUGGCCUGGGCUGUCAGAACCGGUGAUGUGACUUCAUGUGUGUCAGCUCACCUCCCUGGGCCUCAGUAUCCUCAUGAGUCAACUGAAUGGUGCCCGUGGCAGACACACUCGGUGGCUCACCCAGGAACUGUGACCUGUCCCCUCAUCUGGGGAAAACCAGUUUUGUUCUGGGCUCUGCUUUCAGCCCCAGAACCUGAAACUGAUGGGUCUGAACUGAGCAUAUAAAUUCCCCUUUUCCAGCAUUUGAUUUAGGGUUGAGCAUGUGUUAAAGGGUUUCCCCACAAAGCAGAUAUGUUGGCAUCUCAACACUGGCAGCCCGGGACCUCAGAAUGUGCCUUACUGGGGACAGGGGCUUCGUGACAGCGAUCAGUCAGUGGGGUGGGCUCUGACCCAGUCUGAUUAGUGUCUACAUGAAAAGCAGAAAUCUGGACACAGAGAUGGCCAUGCCACAGAGGGGGGUCAGUGGGAAGAAACACAGGGGCAGGGGGGAAACAGUCGUGGAUAAGCGAGAAGUCAGCCUGGGACAGACUCUCCCUCUCAGCCUCAGAAGGAACCGACCCUGUUGACACCUGAUUUCAGACUGUGGCUUCUGGAACUGUGAGAUCCUAUAGCGCUGUUGUGGAAGCUGCUGUUUGCGGUCCUCUGUGGUGGCAGACCUAGGCCUUUUUUUUUUUUAAUUUAAUUUUUUUCCUUUUCUUUUUUUUGUUUCAGGGCCACACCUGUGGCAUAUGGAGGCUCCCAGGCUAGGGGUUGAAUCGGAGCUGCAGCUGCCGGCCUAUACCACAGCCGCAGCGACACGGGAUCUGAGCCCUGUGUGCAACCUACACCACACUCAUGGCAACACUGCAACACUGGACCUUAACCCAUUGAGCGAGGCCAAGGAUCGAACCUGCAUCCUCAUGGAUACUAGUCAGGUUCUUAACCCACUGAGCCACAACGGGAACUCCCCUAGGACUUUAAUAUAGCGUGUUCUGGUCUAAGAGCUCAGCGAAGGCAUUUUCUCCCUAAGAAUAAACAGAGAGGACUGUGAGGAGAGAAUCAGCUUUCCUUUUUGCUCCCUCCCACAGGACGUGUGAAGCCUUGGGACUCCGCACUCUGGAGCGAUCUUAUGAUGCGCCAGGCAUGCCCUGGACAAAGGCUUCUCACAAGCUUGGCAGAGUAGAGCGAAAGAGCCUGGGGCCUUUCUAGGAUGCCAAGUUCACCUCCAGCCAUCGACUUCCAGGCUUAGUGCUUUAGGAUGUAAUGACACAUCUUUCUUACAUGAGCCAAUCUCAAAUAUUGGGAAACAGUUAUUUAAGUUCCAACACAAUAUGAUUCUAAUUGUUUAUCCUUAUAUGCCCCCAAAGCUGAUCUUUGGCUCUCUCUUCAUAAGUUAUGACUCAUGGCAACGCCAGAUCCUUAACCCACUGAGCGCGGCCAGGGACUGAACCCACAACCUCAUGGUUCCUAGUUGGAUUUGUUUCUGAUGCACCAUGAAGGGAACUCCUUUAAGCCUAUUUUUAAGGCUGCUGAAUCCUUUUAGUAGCUGAAGUUCUACCUAUAUCCCGCAGCUGUAGCACAGAUAAAAGCAGGGGUGGUUCUUACAACACCUGCACAAAACACUGGCUACUCUCAGUCCAAACCAGUGCAUUUGCCAAAGUAACACUUGUUACUAAUGGGUGUUCAACAAUGACUUUUUUUUUUUUUGGCCACACUGGCAGCAUAUGGAAGUUCAAGGCCAGGGAUCAAACUUGAGCCACAGCAGUGAGCCAAGCCACGGUAGUGACAACAGUAGAUCCUUAACUGCUAGGCCACCAGGGAACUCCAACAAUGACUUUUGAUAUGGGUUAUUAGAGGCAACCUGCAAAGAUACAUAAAACGCAAAAGAAUCAAAGAAUGGAAAGAAUCAGGACAAAGUUGGCUGUUCAAAAAUCAUACCCAGAUCUGUGCCAGAUGCUUCUGUGCAGCUCCUAGAGAGGUGAGGAUUUCGUCUCUAAAUGUCUCAGUAGUGGAAGCAAAGAGAUAUGCAAGAUGACUCACAAGAAACACAACAUCCUUAAAGUAAGGUGCCCAGCUGUUCAGGAAAGUAGAUUUUUGUGAUAAUGAGACCCAAUAAAAAUGUCUCCUGUGAAUUCUCACCAGAGGAACCGGGAUGUAAUAGGCGACACCUUCAACAAUGUCUUCUUCAAUAGAUACAGGGACAAAUGUGUGCACCUGUUUCUUACAUUCCUCCAGAGGCCAACGGGGUAACAUCGAAGUGCCGUUGGAUAAAAGCAGUGUUUGUGGAGUUAAGGGAGGGUGGCAGGAAGAGCAAAGCAGUUUCUGAAGAGCCAAAGCCCAGCUCUUUAUUGAUGUGGCAAAGCUCCCCCUUCCUCCCCCUUAACACAGAUGCUUACUUCCUGUAGAAGAAACAAACCAAAAAUGUUUCUUUAUUGUGUUUCAUGCUUAUAAAAGUAAUGCCUAUUCAUUCCAAAAGUGUGACUAAUGCUGAAAUAGGAAGCACAGAAGGUAUCAUUUCCAGAAACCCCAUUCCUCAAAGGUGACCACUCAUUUCAGUUUAAGCAUCUUCUCCUGCAAUUUUUCACAAGCUCACAGCUCUCAUUUACAUACAUACUCACCAACUACGAUCAUAUCUGAUUUAAUGUUUAGAGUCUCACCUCCUAGUGACUGUGGAUCAGCUUGAAAAUGCGUGAAAACUACUCGAUCCUCGGUGGAUGGCUAUUUGAAUAUGUUUUUCUUACUAUUAAAAAUAAAGAUUCCAUGAAUUUCUACAGGCCUAAUUUCACAAAGUUCUUUUCAGACUUCUCUGGAGUCCCAGUGCAAACCUCCUACAGUGGCAGGACCUGAUGUGAGCUCAUUUGCUUUCUCUCUUUCCCUUCAAAGUUAUCUUGUGCUUCAUUUUUGAAGGCCUUGACUUCUCUCUGAUGACUCACAGCUCAGAAGGAAACAGUUUCCUGCUGAAUGUCACUGAGAACAGCUUGCAAUGUUCUCUCCUGGUUAAUAAGUUUCCACCGCAGUGGGGUCCUAGAAACAAUACAUCAUCCACAGUCAGGAACUUUUUGAAAGUUAGAGUCAGGUGGGCAGGUGAUGUGUCAGGUCAGAUAUGCAGAAGGUCAGUGGCAGAGAAACCAAGUCAGUCUUGCACGCACUCAUGCACACACGGCUGGCAUAUUUGGAAGGCUGCCUAACCAUGGUGAAGGGCAAGGGCACUGGCACCAAGCUGCUUGGGUUUAAAUCCUGGCCCCAGCACUGGGUGUGUGUGACCUUGGGCAACUUACUAAGCCUGUCUCUGCCUCAAUGUCGUCAUCUCUAAAGUAGCUAAUGCGAGUCUUAGGAAGAAUAAAUGCGGCGCUAACUAUACAGCACUUGGAACAGCACUAGCAUGGAGUAGACUAAGAAUUUGAAAAAUAAAUAAAAUCUACUGUCGAUCUGUACCCCUUUGGUGCAGAUGCUUUUAAGCACUUCCUAACCGCAUGCUGCUAGACACCUGGACCCACAUGGAGGAAUUGCAGCAAUCAAAGCCCAUUUUUUCUAUGGCUAAUCAACUCCCCAUUUCCUAAAUCGGUUCUUGAUCCAUUUACACACUCACUGUCAUACCCAAAGUUUUAUUUUGGUUGGACACAUCCUCAUAAAUGCAAAUGAAAACACUCAUUCUGUUCUAAUCAAAGUUACAUUUUUUUUGGAUGAAGAUAUAAUGGAUUAGACAUUGAUUUAAUAAAUGGUUACUGGAGGUCCCACUGUGACUCAGCGGUAAAGAACCAGACUGGUAUCCAUGAGGAGGAUGAGGGUUCAAUCCCUGGCCUCGCUCAGUGGGUUAAGGAUCCAGCAUUGCCAUAAGCUGUGGUGUAGGUCGCAGAUGCAGCUCAGAUCCCACAUUGCUGUGGCUGUGGUGUAGGCCAGCAGCUCCGAUUAGACCCCUAGCCUGGGAACUUCCAUAUGUCAUGGGUAUGGCCCUAAAAAGACGAAAGAAAGAAAGAAAGAAAGACAGAGAGAGAGAGAGAGAGAGAAAGAAAGACAGAGAGAGAGAGAGAAAGAAAGAUGAGAGAAAGAAAUGGUUACUAUUGACAAGUUUGUAAUAGAUCAAAUACUUUGGAUAUUAAAGAACAUUAUUGAAUUAUAUUUUGUUAAAUUUAAUUACUAUAUGAAAAUGUCAUUUUUUAAAAUUCAGUGAAUUUUAUUGUGUUUAUAGUUGUACAACCAUCAUCACAACCUAAUUUUAGAACAUUUCCACCCUGAUACAAAAUUUUUAAUCCCCAAUUUCAGUCCAAAGCACAUUUGAAAUUGUUUGACAAAUGUCGCUUAAGGCGAGAAAAUACUCCAUUGGUGUAAUUCUAAAAACAGAGAAAAUUUUCAAAGUAAACCCCAGCCCUGCAACAGAUUUUACUAGGCAUUUUUCCAAAAUGGCCUACUAAAUCAGUGCUAUUAUUUUUUGGUGAAGAAAAGCUCAACAAUAACCAGCUUUAUCCACCUACAGAAGCAUAUUCUAGAAACAUCCUUGGGAGUACUCACAAACAAUGCUCUGUUUAUACUCUGUGUCGUUUCCACCACAGGCCAGCCCCAGGUGCUUCAGGAGACUGAAAACACCCAAAAAUGUUCACAGAGCAACACACUGAACUCACUAACUUCUUCUGGGAACGUCUUUGGGCCCUGCCUAUGGUGGAGCCUGAAAUACAAAGCAAUCUUGCUCACAUAGCGAACUCUAGUUACAGAAUUUCCGUCCCACAAUGGUCACUGUGAAUAUGAAAUUCCACUUUUUGGAAACCACUCUCCAACCCUGUGACAUAAAAAGCUUUGGACUAAAGCUUAGUUUUCUUCUUUUCGGUGGUCUAAUACAGGGCCAUACCUCAGUGUAAUCGAAAGCAAAUACAACUGAUAGAAGAUGUUAACUUGUCUUCACGGUGUGACAACAAAGGCACGUCCAUCUCCUUUUCAGGAGAAAUCCUAUCAAUGUUUUUCAUUAGUUGGAGGGGGGUUACAUGUAUGACCAAACACAGACUGCUUAAUUUCGUAGGAAUUUGCUAAAUUCCCAUUUUGGUAGCUAAAUUAGCUUGUUGAUGAAAAAAAAAUUCAAUGAAGAGUCACGUUGCUAUUUCCCAAUUAGGAUCAUUUUCGGAAAGUGUUUGUUCUGAAAGAUUCCCUAAAGAGAGUGUUUUUUGGCUCAGCUGAAGCUGUAACUCAUUCAUUUCCAUACCUUUCCAUAACCAAGGCAUGGUAGGGGCUUGGCAAUUGCUGAGUUAAACUGACUGUUAAGAUUUAUUUGUAAACGCUUUGUUUUAGAUGCUUGGCGUAAAAGCAAGAAUGUGGAUUUUGGUGUCAAGUCUGCCUCAACAGAAAACGUGGCUGGACUAUGGCUCAGGGGACGCAAAUCCAACUAGCAUCCAUAAGGACGCAGGUUCAAUCCCUGGCCUCACUCACUUUUGGACUAAAGCUUAGUUUUCUUCCUUUCAAUGGUCUAAUACAGGGCCAUACCUCAGUGUAAGUGGGUUAAGGAUCUGGCGUUGCCAUGAGCUAUGAUGUAGUUUGCAGACAUGGCUCAGACCUGGCAUUGCUGUGGCUGUGGUGUAGGCUGGUGGCUAUAGCUCUGAUUAGACCCCCAGUCUGGGAACCUACAUAUGCCACAGGUGGGGACCUAAAAAGACAAAAAAAA
This 6234-nucleotide long non-coding RNA is filed under the name Sus scrofa (pig). RNAcentral describes it as "lncRNA (ENSSSCG00040061912.1)". Lineage: Eukaryota; Metazoa; Chordata; Mammalia; Artiodactyla; Suidae. The record is from RNAcentral.